Pipra filicauda (Wire-tailed manakin) is the source of this 482-nucleotide long non-coding RNA. RefSeq lists it as uncharacterized. The transcript is spliced from 3 exons. The record is from RefSeq and is a predicted model, not a curated record. Lineage: Eukaryota; Metazoa; Chordata; Aves; Passeriformes; Pipridae.
GAAAACAACUGUGUGCCAUCCAUGUCUCGUGCAACACCCAAGGAGCUCUGGAUUUGGAAGGGGGAAUCCCACUGAAGCUGGUAUUUCCUUGAACUGUGUUUGACUUCAAUCUCCUGGCUCUGGGGUUGUGUAGAAGACUCUGUUCCUAUGAGUAGAGGCAAGACUUUCAUAUUGGACUGAAACAUAAGGAUGGAGACAGAGAUUGACUGGAAGAAUAAGAUUUGGGGACAAAAAUGCCAGGCCUGUCCUUGUCCUGUUAGUUGCUAAAACCAUAUUUGGAGUCAAUGAAGUGAAAUUACUCAGGACAGUGUUGGGUACCACUAGUCAGCAUGUUUAAGCCUGGCAAGCUGCUCUUUCCAGGCGUGAUGGACUUGGUGAUCACUUCUGUGAGAGUUUUGGGAGCACAGCCUGAUAGGACUGGAGACCCCACCAGGCUGCUCAGCACCUUCUCACACUGAACCACCCCAGAACUCAUGGUGCUG